This 400-nucleotide long non-coding RNA is filed under the name Phoenix dactylifera (date palm). Its description in RNAcentral is "long non-coding RNA (PDAC_LNC006877)". Lineage: Eukaryota; Viridiplantae; Streptophyta; Magnoliopsida; Arecales; Arecaceae. The record is from RNAcentral.
GUUUAAGUUGGGGGGAGGGAAGUAUUUAAAAAAAAAAAAUUGUUUUUGCAUUCUUUUCUAAGCAAAUGCAUAUGUAUUUUCAUAUUGAGUUUGUGCAACUAUUAAGGCAAGGAAUACAUGCAUACUAUGACUGAUCAGAGACCUACUAUUAGAUCCCCGCACAUGUAUUUAAUGAUUAUAAGAAGGCCUCAGGAGUUCACAUUUGUUUAAUGCAUUUUUAUUAAGCCAUAUCUGUAAAAGAAGUACAAGUAUCCUUGUCCGUACUAUAAGGUUCUUGAUUUAAUUUUCACAUAAAGAUAGAGGUUGAAUACCCCGGCUAGAUCAUCUAAGUGCCUUAUGUUCCGACCUUGGUUGACCUAUAGUCACGUUGCAGUCACAUUAUAUGGUUCAGUUUACCUUC